This 76-nucleotide transfer RNA is filed under the name Desulfurispirillum alkaliphilum. RNAcentral's name for it is "tRNA-Asn". It matches the Rfam family "tRNA". From Rfam's summary of the family: Transfer RNA (tRNA) molecules are approximately 80 nucleotides in length. Their secondary structure includes four short double-helical elements and three loops (D, anti-codon, and T loops). RNAcentral also lists the same sequence under 2 other names. The record is from RNAcentral. Lineage: Bacteria; Pseudomonadati; Chrysiogenota; Chrysiogenia; Chrysiogenales; Chrysiogenaceae.
UCCCCGAUAGCUCAGUAGGUAGAGCGAGUGACUGUUAAUCACUUGGUCGCUGGUUCGAGUCCGGCUCGGGGAGCCA